RNAcentral lists this ribosomal RNA (373 nucleotides) under uncultured bacterium. RNAcentral describes it as "bacterial SSU rRNA". It matches the Rfam family "Bacterial small subunit ribosomal RNA", at positions 527 to 898 of the family's 1533-position model. The record is from RNAcentral.
GAAGGGUGCAAGCGUUACUCGGAAUUACUGGGCGUAAAGCGUGCGUAGGUGGUUCGUUAAGUCUGAUGUGAAAGCCCUGGGCUCAACCUGGGAAUGGCAUUGGAUACUGGCGACCUAGAGUGCGGUAGAGGGGUGUGGAAUUCCCGGUGUAGCAGUGAAAUGCGUAGAUAUCGGGAGGAACAUCUGUGGCGAAGGCGACACCCUGGACCAGCACUGACACUGAGGCACGAAAGCGUGGGGAGCAAACAGGAUUAGAUACCCUGGUAGUCCACGCCCUAAACGAUGCGAACUGGAAGUUGGGGGCAACUUGGCCCUCAGUUUCGAAGCUAACGCGUUAAGUUCGCCGCCUGGGAAGUACGGUCGCAAGACUGAA